GCCUGGCUGGCUCAGUCGGUAGAGCAUGUGACUCUUAAUCUCAGGGUCGUGAGUUCAAGCUCCAUGUUGGGCA
Non-coding RNA from Hyaena hyaena (striped hyena), 73 nucleotides. The record is from the annotation of a RefSeq genome assembly. Lineage: Eukaryota; Metazoa; Chordata; Mammalia; Carnivora; Hyaenidae.